This 460-nucleotide ribosomal RNA is filed under the name uncultured bacterium. Its description in RNAcentral is "partial 16S ribosomal RNA". It matches the Rfam family "Bacterial small subunit ribosomal RNA", at positions 338 to 795 of the family's 1533-position model. The record is from RNAcentral.
CCUACGGGUGGCAGCAGUGAGGAACAUUGGUCAAUGGCCGGAAGGCUGAACCAGCCAUGCCGCGUGAAGGUCAGUGCCCUAUGGGCGUUAAACUUCUUUUGUGCGGGAGCAAUAAUGGUCACGUGUGGCCAGACGAGAGUACCGUACGAAUAAGCAUCGGCUAACUCCGGGCCAGCAGCCGCGGUAAUACGGGGGAUGCAAGCGUUAUCCGGUUUUAUUGGGUUUAAAGGGUGCGUAGGCUGGGAGGUAAGUCAGCGGUGAAAUGCCCCGGCUCAAAGGGGUGAAGUGCCAUUGAUACUGCCUGGCUGGAAUGCGGAUGCCGUGGGAGGAAUGUGUGGUGUAGCGGUGAAAUGCAUAGAUAUCACACAGAACACCGAUUGCGAAGGCAUCUCACGGAUCCGCGAUUGACGCUGAUGCACGAAAGCGUGGGUAUCAAACAGGAUUAGAUACCCCAGUAGUC